RNAcentral lists this ribosomal RNA (432 nucleotides) under uncultured bacterium. RNAcentral describes it as "partial 16S ribosomal RNA". It matches the Rfam family "Bacterial small subunit ribosomal RNA", at positions 29 to 506 of the family's 1533-position model. The record is from RNAcentral.
AACGAACGCUGGCGGCAUGCCUAACACAUGCAAGUCGAACGAGACCUUCGGGUCUAGUGGCGCACGGGUGCGUAACGCGUGGGAACCUGCCCUUAGGUUCGGAAUAACUCCCCGAAAGGGGUGCUAAUACCGGAUAAUGUCUUCGGACCAAAGAUUUAUCGCCUUUGGAUGGGCCCGCGUUGGAUUAGCUAGUUGGUAGGGUAAAAGCCUACCAAGGCGACGAUCCAUAGCUGGUCUGAGAGGAUGAUCAGCCACACUGGGACUGAGACACGGCCCAGACUCCUACGGGAGGCAGCAGUGGGAAAUAUUGGACAAUGGGCGAAAGCCUGAUCCAGCAAUGCCGCGGGAGUGAUGAAGGCCUUAGGGUUGUAAAGCUCUUUUACCCGGGAUGAUAAUGACAGUACCGGGAGAAUAAGCUCCGGCUAACUCCGU